This 371-nucleotide ribosomal RNA is filed under the name uncultured bacterium. RNAcentral's name for it is "bacterial SSU rRNA". It matches the Rfam family "Bacterial small subunit ribosomal RNA", at positions 527 to 896 of the family's 1533-position model. The record is from RNAcentral.
AGAGACUGCAAGCGUUAUUCGGAUUCACUGGGCGUAAAGGGUGCGCAGGCGGCCGUGUGUGUGAGGCGUGAAAGCCCGAUGCUUAACAUCGGAAUUGCACCUCAAACUACACGGCUAGAGCAUUGGAGAGGGUAGCGGAAUUCACGGUGUAGCAGUGAAAUGCGUAGAUAUCGUGAGGAACACCAGAGGCGAAGGCGGCUACCUGGACAAUUGCUGACGCUCAGGCACGAAAGCGUGGGGAGCAAAAGGGAUUAGAUACCCCUGUAGUCCACGCCCUAAACGGUGCACACUAGGUCUUGGCGGAUUCGACCCCACCAGGGCCCCAGCUAACGCGUUAAGUGUGCCGCCUGAGGACUACGGUCGCAAGACUA